Molecule: long non-coding RNA, 691 nt
Filed under: Physcomitrium patens
Lineage: Eukaryota; Viridiplantae; Streptophyta; Bryopsida; Funariales; Funariaceae
Description: long non-coding RNA (PPAT_LNC004967)
Source: RNAcentral
AAGGUGAUAUGAAGGGGAUGGUUGGCAUUGUUGAUUAAGAGUUGAGGUCUUGUAAGAAGAGACGUAUAUGAUGCAUAUUGAUGACUAUUUUGAAUAGUGAGUGAUUGAGUAUUAGAUAUUUUUAUGAGAAAUAUUGGCAACAAAGAAUAUAUAUAGGAGAUUGGGAAGGUACUAAAAUAAAAUUUAAUAAGUUAGAAAAUGUAUUUUAUAUUUUUUGCAUGAUUAGUGUUUUAGUGCAGAGUAUAAAUUAAUUCUUUAUCAUGAAGUAAAGUUUGAGAAGAUAUUAAACUAUGAUUGCUAUGGGAUAGUAAUACUUGAUGAGUUCAAAAAUUUGUACAGAAUAGAAGAUAAAUUGGUGAUAAGAAAAUAAGGUAUUAUCCAUAAGUGAAUGAAAAAGAAUAUAAGAGGAGUGGAUUGAAACAUGUGUAGAAUAGAACACUAAGUUUAAGUUGAUGUAAAAAAGAGUUUAUAAUUUGGCAUUUGAUGUAGUGAUUUGUUUGGUUUGUGAAUUUGCAAGUAUGUGCAUGAGAGAAAUUGUUUUUUGAGAGUAUAGUAAUGAUGAAAAAUAAAUAAAAUUUGUAUGGUAUUAAGUAUAAUUUGUAGGAUUAAAUAUGAUUCUCACAAACACUUCAAAUAUUUAAAGUUUUGAGUUUUGAUAUAUUAAAUAAGUGGAUUUCAAUUAUUGAUAAGG